RNAcentral lists this small RNA (326 nucleotides) under Arabidopsis thaliana (thale cress). Its description in RNAcentral is "ATSL024550". Lineage: Eukaryota; Viridiplantae; Streptophyta; Magnoliopsida; Brassicales; Brassicaceae. The record is from RNAcentral.
GUAAAUAACUACCACCUUCAUACUGGUGAACUCUCUCUUUCUUCAUUUGUAGGCAAGAAAUUGUGUUGCUUGACAACGAAAUUUCCUUAAACGAAGCACGGAUAGAGGCAAGGGAACAGGGGAUACAGGAAGUUAAGCAUCAAAUCAGUGAAGUAAUGGAGAUGUUCAAAGAUCUGGCGGUGAUGGUAGACCAUCAAGGAACGAUCGGUAAAUCUCUGAAACGAAAAAAGCAACAGUCAAGACCUAGAAUAAAAAAAACAGUCAAGACCUAGAAUGCUUUGAGUCCAAUUCUCAAUCCUCUUUACUUUUUAUUUUUUUAUUUUUUA